Molecule: ribosomal RNA, 505 nt
Filed under: uncultured bacterium
Lineage: Bacteria
Description: partial 16S ribosomal RNA
Rfam family: Bacterial small subunit ribosomal RNA
Source: RNAcentral
GACGAACGCUGGCGGCGUGCCUAAUACAUGCAAGUAGAACGCACAGUUUAUACCGUAGCUUGCUACACCAUAGACUGUGAGUUGCGAACGGGUGAGUAACGCGUAGGUAACCUGCCUGGUAGCGGGGGAUAACUAUUGGAAACGAUAGCUAAUACCGCAUCAUAUUAAUUAUUGCAUGAUAAUUAAUUGAAAGGUGCAAUUGCACCACUACCAGAUGGACCUGCGUUGUAUUAGCUAGUAGGUGAGGUAACGGCUCACCUAGGCGACGAUACAUAGCCGACCUGAGAGGGUGAUCGGCCACACUGGGACUGAGACACGGCCCAGACUCCCACGGGAGGCAGCAGUAGGGAAUCUUCGGCAAUGGACGAAAGUCUGACCGAGCAACGCCGCGUGAGUGAAGAAGGUUUUCGGAUCGUAAAGCUCUGUUGUAAGAGAAGAACGGGUGUGAGAGUGGAAAGUUCACACUGUGACGGUAUCUUACCAGAAAGGGACGGCUAACUACGUG